Molecule: ribosomal RNA, 239 nt
Filed under: uncultured bacterium
Lineage: Bacteria
Description: partial 16S ribosomal RNA
Rfam family: Bacterial small subunit ribosomal RNA
Source: RNAcentral
CGGCGGACGGGUGAGUAACGCGUGGGUAACCUGCCUCAUACAGGGGAGUAACAGUUAGAAAUGACUGCUAAUACCGCAUAAGACCACAGCACCGCAUGGUGCGGGGUAAAAACGUACCGGUGGUAUGAGAUGGACCCGCGUCUGAUUAGCUAGUUGGUAAGGUAACGGCUUACCAAGGCGACGAUCAGUAGCCGACCUGAGAGGGUGACCGGCCACAUUGGGACUGAGACACGGCCCAA